CCUUUGACGUUAGCGGCGGACGGGUGAGUAACACGUGGGUAACCUACCUAUAAGACUGGGAUAACUUCGGGAAACCGGAGCUAAUACCGUAUAAUAUUUCGAACCGCAUGGUUCGAUAGUGAAAGAUGGUUUUGCUAUCACUUAUAGAUGGACCCGCGCCGUAUUAGCUAGUUGGUAAGGUAACGGCUUACCAAGGCGACGAUACGUAGCCGACCUGAGAGGGUGAUCGGCCACACUGGAACUGAGACACGGUCCAGACUCCUACGGGAGGCAGCAGUA
RNAcentral lists this ribosomal RNA (279 nucleotides) under uncultured Staphylococcus sp. RNAcentral's name for it is "partial 16S ribosomal RNA". It matches the Rfam family "Bacterial small subunit ribosomal RNA", at positions 83 to 355 of the family's 1533-position model. Lineage: Bacteria; Bacillati; Bacillota; Bacilli; Caryophanales; Staphylococcaceae. The record is from RNAcentral.